Molecule: ribosomal RNA, 468 nt
Filed under: uncultured bacterium
Lineage: Bacteria
Description: bacterial SSU rRNA
Rfam family: Bacterial small subunit ribosomal RNA
Source: RNAcentral
AGUUUGAUCCUGGCUCAGAACGAACGCUGGCGGCAGGCUUAACACAUGCAAGUCGAGCGAGACCUUCGGGUCUAGCGGCGGACGGGUGAGUAACGCGUGGGAACGUGCCCUUCUCUACGGAAUAGCCCCGGGAAACUGGGAGUAAUACCGUAUACGCCCUUUGGGGGAAAGAUUUAUCGGAGAAGGAUCGGCCCGCGUUGGAUUAGGUAGUUGGUGGGGUAAUGGCCCACCAAGCCGACGAUCCAUAGCUGGUUUGAGAGGAUGAUCAGCCACACUGGGACUGAGACACGGCCCAGACUCCUACGGGAGGCAGCAGUGGGGAAUCUUAGACAAUGGGGGCAACCCUGAUCUAGCCAUGCCGCGUGAGUGAUGAAGGCCUUAGGGUUGUAAAGCUCUUUCAGCUGGGAAGAUAAUGACGGUACCAGCAGAAGAAGCCCCGGCUAACUCCGUGCCAGCAGCCGCGGUAAU